AUGUGUGAUUGCACCUUAGCUCUAUAUCCGCUCUAAUUGUUGAAGAUAUCUCAAGUUCGGUUGGUGUUUUCAUCUCCAUUUGAGUUUCCGUUUCAACUACAAAUUCACCAUACCAGAUACCAUGUCGAACUUAUCAAAACUCGAAUUCGUCGCACUUGACAUCUCCGGAAAUAACUACCUCCCAUGGACUCUUGAUGCGAAAAUUCAUCUAACAGCAAAUAAUCUAGGGGCGACAAUCGAUGAUGAGAAUCAAACAUCCGCUCAAGAUAAGGCUAAGGCCAUGAUAUUCCUCCGUCACCAUCUUCACGAAGACUUGAAGAGGGAGUAUCUUACUGUUGAGGACCCUCUCGAGCUGUGGAGAAAUAUCAAAGAAAGAUUUGAUCACCAGAAGCUGGUCUUGCUCCCUAAAGCUCGCUAUGAGUGGCUUCAUUUGAGGCUACAAGAUUAUAAAAGUGUUAGCGAGUACAACUCUGCCCUUUUCCGCAUCACCUCUGAGCUUAAAUUAUGUGGUGAAAAAAUAACCGACG
RNAcentral lists this long non-coding RNA (527 nucleotides) under Helianthus annuus (common sunflower). RNAcentral's name for it is "sRNA HanXRQr2_Chr16g0727951". Lineage: Eukaryota; Viridiplantae; Streptophyta; Magnoliopsida; Asterales; Asteraceae. The record is from RNAcentral.